UUUUAUUGUCAUUAUUAUUUUUAUUAUUAUUUUUAUUUUUCAGUGCUGGAAAGCCUAAUCCUAGCCUUUUCCUUAAAGCCUCGGAGUAUUUUGAUGACGUAGACAUAGAAAAUAUCCUGGUUUUUGAAGACAGUGUCAGUGGAGUCAAGGCUGCCCAGGACGCCGGGAUGAACGUGGUGAUGAUCCCGGACACAGAGGCGGUCGUCAAAUCCGUGGAUGUUAUCAGUUCUCUAGAAAAUUUCCGUCCUGAAGCUUACGGUCUACCCCCCUAUGAGGAUAAGGAUGAUGGUGACGAUCAAGAUGAUGGAGUGGACGAUCAAAAUGAUGAGGAUAGUCACCUUUGAAGGUCAAGAUUAGACUAUCAAGACGAUAGAUUCGAAGACGAAGUCGAAGUGAGACGAGAUUAGAAGAAAAUGUUAAUUAUUGCUGAUGGUGUGAUAAACCUGAUUGUCCCUUGACCUACACUAUUAGAUAGAGAUGGCCACGUUCGGUUUUUUUAAACUUUCUUCGUGAUUCGUGAAAGACCCAUUUCGUUCUAGUUUUUUCAAUCACUCAAAAAAAUGAUUUCUUUCCUUCUCAAAAUUAACAUUUCUAUCUACAUCGUUCAUUUUCUCACUGAACGAACGUUCAUUCAAAUUGUUUGUUUAAAAUAUCGUUCGUUCAACGAAAUCGUCGUUCGAUUAAUACCUUUGUUUACAAAAAACUUCAAUCGUUCACAAAAAUUUAGUUCGUUGACUGAAACGAUGCCCAUCUCUGCUAUUGUUUGUAUAUUUAGAAAUCCUGAACAAAAUGUUAGAGAUGUCUCACAAAUGUUCAUAUCCAAAACAUUCGAAAUGUUUUCUAACAGGAUUGGUAUGUUUUAGUUCGUGUCAAUAUCUACGAAGACUAUUUUGUCUGAGGGCCGAUGGUGAAAGCCUAUUAUUAUCUUAAAUUAAUAAAAUGAACUAAAUUCA
Eurytemora carolleeae is the source of this 953-nucleotide long non-coding RNA. RefSeq lists it as uncharacterized. The transcript has 4 exons. The record is from RefSeq and is a predicted model, not a curated record. NCBI's taxonomy places the organism in Eukaryota, Metazoa, Arthropoda, Copepoda, Calanoida, Temoridae.